RNAcentral lists this ribosomal RNA (468 nucleotides) under uncultured bacterium. RNAcentral describes it as "partial 16S ribosomal RNA". It matches the Rfam family "Bacterial small subunit ribosomal RNA", at positions 28 to 507 of the family's 1533-position model. The record is from RNAcentral.
GACGAACGCUGGCGGCGUGCUUAACACAUGCAAGUCGAACGGAAAGGCCCUGCUUUUGUGGGGUGCUCGAGUGGCGAACGGGUGAGUAACACGUGAGUAACCUGCCCUUGAUUUUGGGAUAACUUCAGGAAACUGGGGCUAAUACCGGAUAGGAGCUCCUGCUGCAUGGUGGGGGUUGGAAAGUUUCGGCGGUUGGGGAUGGACUCGCGGCUUAUCAGCUUGUUGGUGGGGUAGUGGCUUACCAAGGCUUUGACGGGUAGCCGGCCUGAGAGGGUGACCGGCCACAUUGGGACUGAGAUACGGCCCAGACUCCUACGGGAGGCAGCAGUGGGGAAUAUUGCACAAUGGGCGGAAGCCUGAUGCAGCAACGCCGCGUGCGGGAUGACGGCCUUCGGGUUGUAAACCGCCUUCGCCUGUGACGAAGCGUGAGUGACGGUAAUGGGUAAAGAAGCACCGGCUAACUACGUG